AGCAUCGUGGCGCAGCGGCUAGCGCGAUGGGCUCAUAACCCAUAGGUCGUUGGAUCGAAACCAACCGAUGCUA
Molecule: transfer RNA, 73 nt
Filed under: Bodo saltans
Lineage: Eukaryota; Euglenozoa; Kinetoplastea; Eubodonida; Bodonidae
Rfam family: tRNA
About the family: Transfer RNA (tRNA) molecules are approximately 80 nucleotides in length.
Source: Rfam by way of RNAcentral